Molecule: ribosomal RNA, 492 nt
Filed under: Moluccobius sp. 1 MB-2015
Lineage: Eukaryota; Metazoa; Arthropoda; Insecta; Coleoptera; Curculionidae
Description: partial 16S ribosomal RNA
Source: RNAcentral
UCGAACAGACCUAAAUAUUUUAGCUUCUACACCAAAAUUUUAUUUUAAUCCAACAUCGARGUCGCAAUCUUUUCUUUCGAUUUGAACUCUCAAAAAAAAUUACGCUGUUAUCCCUAARGUAAUUUAUUCUUUUAAUCUUAAAAAGGAUCAAAUAAUCAUAAAUUAAUGUAAAUUUACAAAAAAAGUUUUUUAAAUUUUUUGAUCACCCCAACCAAAUUAAUUCUCAUAUUUUAAAACUAUAAAAUCUAAAAUUUUUAAAUAUAAUUAUUAAUAAAACUCUAUAGGGUCUUCUCGUCUUUUAUUUAAAUUUAAGCUUUUUUACUUAAAAAUAAAAUUCUAAAAAAUUUAAAUAGAGACAGUUAUUUUUCCAUCCAACCUUUCAUUCCAGCUUUCAAUUAAAAAACUAUUGAUUAUGCUACCUUUGCACGGUCAGAAUACCGCGGCCAUUUAAAUUCUCAUUGGGCAGGCGAGACCUUAAAUUAUAAUCAAAAG